GGCAAAAAUGUGUCAUGAGAGCCACAAUGUCUAAUGCCAAUAUUUUGGGUAGCUUACUAUUAUGUACUACUAGGUGUACUAGUUGUAAAUAAUACUAGACACACGUGUCAAACAUUAAGGCAUUUUUUACACGUGCUUGUAACAAGAGCUGCAUGAUGCAUGCCUCAUGUUCAGCAGGCUAUAUAAAGAGGUACUUUUUGAUGCAGUGAGCAAGUUACAACUAAAGGGAAAUCACGAUGAAGACUCUUGUAUUCUUCUUUAUGACUCUCAGUGUUUGUGUUCUGGCUAUGCCAAGCACAAAGUCUUACAACAAUGAUCAUUACAGGAACAGAAACAAAGUAACAAACAUGAAGAACGAGACUUCACCACCAGAAG
Long non-coding RNA from Amphimedon queenslandica, 375 nucleotides. RefSeq lists it as uncharacterized. Lineage: Eukaryota; Metazoa; Porifera; Demospongiae; Haplosclerida; Niphatidae. The transcript has 3 exons. The record is from RefSeq and is a predicted model, not a curated record.